AGAGUUUGAUUAUGGCUCAGGAUGAACGCUGGCGGCGUGCCUAACACAUGCAAGUCGAGCGAUUCUCUUCGGAGAAGAGCGGCGGACGGGUGAGUAACGCGUGGGUAACCUGCCUCAUACACAUGGAUAACAUACCGAAAGGUAUGCUAAUACAGGAUAACAUAAGAGAUUCACAUGGAUUUCUUAUCAAAGCUCCGGCGGUAUGAGAUGGACCCGCGUCUGAUUAGCUAGUUGGUAAGGUAACGGCUUACCAAGGCGACGAUCAGUAGCCGACCUGAGAGGGUGAUCGGCCACAUUGGAACUGAGACACGGUCCAAACUCCUACGGGAGGCAGCAGUGGGGAAUAUUGCACAAUGGGCGAAAGCCUGAUGCCAGCAACGCCGCGUGAGUGAUGAAGGCCUUCGGGUCGUAAAACUCUGUCCUCAAGGAAGAUAAUGACGGUACUUGAGGAGGAAGCCCCGGCUAACUACGUGCCAGCAGCGGC
RNAcentral lists this ribosomal RNA (484 nucleotides) under uncultured bacterium. RNAcentral's name for it is "bacterial SSU rRNA". It matches the Rfam family "Bacterial small subunit ribosomal RNA", at positions 8 to 518 of the family's 1533-position model. The record is from RNAcentral.